Molecule: long non-coding RNA, 1303 nt
Organism: Centruroides sculpturatus (bark scorpion)
Lineage: Eukaryota; Metazoa; Arthropoda; Arachnida; Scorpiones; Buthidae
Exons: 3
Source: RefSeq, a predicted model, not a curated record
AAUGGAACAUUACUGACAAUGACCUACUGAAAAAAUUGAUAGAAUCAAUGCCAAACAGGUUAUUUAAAGUGAUAUGAAGAAAUGGAGCAACAAUCAACUAUUAAUCAACAAAAAAGUUACUUCUCAAUAUUUGUUUUCAUGGUGGUCUUAUAAUUUAUUAACAGUGAAAAUUUUACUUUUAUAAAACUAAUAACUAAAAUGUGUUAAGAUUGUUGAACUAAUUGUUCAAAACUUGAUUAUUUAUUGUACUUAAUUUGUUGAGAAUAAUAAUUGACCAUUAAACAUUGUUAGUUUUGAAAAAACUAAAAAUAUGUAGUGGAUCAUAAAUUUUUAACCAACUGUAUAUUGCAUUUUAUUUUAUAUUUAUGUAAAAAAAAUGCAUUUAAAACAUUAAAUAACUACUAUUACUUCUGAUGUCUUAAUGAUCAAUGAAACUAACCACUCAUCAAAAAUUAUUUCAAAAAGCUCAUGUUCCAUCAAACAGAAUAUAGUAUCGCAAAUAAAAAUAUAAAAUACAGCCAAAGAUACUGGUGUCUACAAAUGCUUGUGAGAAAUCAAUACAAAGUGCUAUAACCAGCUUUUCAUGUGCUUGUGCAAAAUUUUAUUCUGACUUCCUCCUUUUUGGAAAAAAAUAUACAAAAUAAAUAAAUACAAUAGAAAUGCUCCCUCUUUGUCCUGGACCCUGGGCUUAUUCUCUUGUUGCAUCUACCUAGUUACUCCAUUGUCAACAUCUAUUGGAAUUUUAAGUUAAGAUUUUUGUAUUUUAAAAUUGCUGGUUUGGCUUAGUUUAAUGGGAUAUAGCAAUGCAACUCAAGGAUGAUCUGCCCAGGAAAAAUUUUCUAUGGGAAACUGGCCUCUGUUUAAGUGUUAAGAGACACAAAAAAAAAAAUGCAGAAAUCUCCAAAUGGCCAGCCCAUUGGUGAGGUGCAAAUCCACUGCAACUACCAAUAUUCAGUGAUUUUAUCCACUUGGCAACUGGCUUGACAUCUAAGACUUUGUUGUACAGUACAAUCAGUCUAGUCUAGAAAAUUAAAUAAAGAGUAAUGCAAAAUAUGUAAGUUCAUGAAUUUAUCAUAAUGCUGCACUAGUGUCAUUUGGUACAGUAGCCAAUUUUAUGGAUUCAGCAGAAAAUUUGCCUCUUUCACUAAAUGGAUCAGAUUCAGCAUAACAUACACACUUCAUACCAAAAUAUUUUAAUAUUCUAUUUAAUAUUCUAAAUAUAAAAUGGAUUUAUAACACUUUGUUAUAAAAUCUGUUUUAUAAAUUACAUAAAUUAACAUCUUUGCUUCUGUAAUUAAUGUCC